GCGAAGCCUGAUCCAGCAAUGCCGCGUGUGUGAAGAAGGCCUUCGGGUUGUAAAGCACUUUUGUCCGGAAAGAAAUCCUUGGCUCUAAUACAGUCGGGGGAUGACGGUACCGGAAGAAUAAGCACCGGCUAACUACGUGCCAGCAGCCGCGGUAAUACGUAGGGUGCGAGCGUUAAUCGGAAUUACUGGGCGUAAAGCGUGCGCAGGCGGUUUGCUAAGACCGAUGUGAAAUCCCCGGGCUCAACCUGGGAACUGCAUUGGUGACUGGCAGGCUAGAGUAUGGCAGAGGGGGGUAGAAUUCCACGUGUAGCAGUGAAAUGCGUAGAGAUGUGGAGGAAUACCGAUGGCGAAGGCAGCCCCCUGGGCCAAUACUGACGCUCAUGCACGAAAGCGUGGGGAGCAAACAGGAUUAGAUACCCUGGUAGUCCACGCCCUAAACGAUGUCAACUAGUUGUUGGGGAUUCAUUUCCUUAGUAACGUAGCUAACGCGUGAAGUUGACCGCCUGGGGAGUACGGUCGCAAGAUUAAAACUCAAAGGAAUUGACGGGGACCCGCACAAGCGGUGGAUGAUGUGGAUUAAUUCGAUGCAACGCGAAAAACCUUACCUACCCUUGACAUGGUCGGAAUCCUGCUGAGAG
RNAcentral lists this ribosomal RNA (638 nucleotides) under Burkholderia sp. IBa359. RNAcentral describes it as "bacterial SSU rRNA". It matches the Rfam family "Bacterial small subunit ribosomal RNA", at positions 375 to 1007 of the family's 1533-position model. The record is from RNAcentral. Lineage: Bacteria; Pseudomonadati; Pseudomonadota; Betaproteobacteria; Burkholderiales; Burkholderiaceae.